GCCUGGCUGGCUCAGUUGGUAAAGCAAAUGACUCUUGAUCUUGAGGUCAUGAGUUUGAGUCCCAUAUUGGGCA
RNAcentral lists this transfer RNA (73 nucleotides) under Canis lupus familiaris (dog). It matches the Rfam family "tRNA". Rfam says of the family: Transfer RNA (tRNA) molecules are approximately 80 nucleotides in length. Lineage: Eukaryota; Metazoa; Chordata; Mammalia; Carnivora; Canidae. RNAcentral also lists the same sequence under 3 other names. The record is from Rfam by way of RNAcentral.